RNAcentral lists this long non-coding RNA (435 nucleotides) under Hordeum vulgare. RNAcentral's name for it is "long non-coding RNA (HVUL_LNC003760)". The record is from RNAcentral. Lineage: Eukaryota; Viridiplantae; Streptophyta; Magnoliopsida; Poales; Poaceae.
GGACUACUGCGGUAUUAAAUUACCAUGGUUUUGAAAAAAACAAUGUUGUAUCCGUUUGGUUCUGGCAAGUAUCUCACGCGUCUAUUGUUCUGCCAACACAUAAAUGACUGAACAUUUUGCCAGUACUACUCUUCUAUCCUAUGAUAGUGUGGGGCUGGAAUAGACACCGACGAAGGGUUUUAAGGUGGCUCCUUCAAAUCAUUACUUCAGGAUCCAGAGUGCAAUAAUUCAACUUGUUGCAACAUAUGAUGAGGCUAACCUUAUUUUUGAAGUUUGUCAGUCGGAUAUGAGUGGUGUGUAAUGUAGUGGCACGCGGAGCAGGUUUCGUGUUUUUUCUAACCCGUUGCAUCGCACGGGCAUAUGUACUAGAUUUGAUAAUUACAUAAAACAUGAAUGCAAUGGGCAAGAAAAAUAUAUAAGAAUCGAGAAUUAUAU